CAGAGGUCUCAAGCGUUGUUCGGAUUCAUUGGGCGUAAAGGGUGCGUAGGCGGCGCGGUAAGUCGGGUGUGAAAUCUCGGAGCUUAACUCCGAAACUGCAUUCGAUACUGCCGUGCUUGAGGACUGGAGAGGAGACUGGAAUUUACGGUGUAGCGGUGAAAUGCGUAGAUAUCGUAAGGAAGACCAGUGGCGAAGGCGGGUCUCUGGACAGUUCCUGACGCUGAGGCACGAAGGUCAGGGGAGCAAACGGGAUUAGAUACCCCCGGUAGUCCUGACAGUAAACGGUGCACGUUUGGUGUGGGAGGAUUCGACCCCUUCUGCGCCGGAGCUAACGCGUUAAACGUGCCGCCUGGGGAGUACGGUCGCAAGAUUA
RNAcentral lists this ribosomal RNA (373 nucleotides) under uncultured organism. Its description in RNAcentral is "bacterial SSU rRNA". It matches the Rfam family "Bacterial small subunit ribosomal RNA", at positions 526 to 896 of the family's 1533-position model. The record is from RNAcentral.